AUUGAACGCUGGCGGCAGGCUUAACACAUGCAAGUCGAGCGGGGUGAUGGUGCUUGCACUAUCACUUAGCGGCGGACGGGUGAGUAAUGCUUAGGAAUCUGCCUAUUAGUGGGGGACAACAUCUCGAAAGGGAUGCUAAUACCGCAUACGUCCUACGGGAGAAAGCAGGGGAUCACUUGUGACCUUGCGCUAAUAGAUGAGCCUAAGUCGGAUUAGCUAGUUGGUGGGGUAAAGGCCUACCAAGGCGACGGUCUGUAGCGGGUCUGAGAGGAUGAUCCGACACACUGGGACUGGCACACGGCCCAGCCUCCUACGGGAGGCAGCAGUGGGGAAUAUUGGACAAUGGGGGGAACCCUGAUCCAGCCAUGCCGCGUGUGUGAAGAAGGCCUUAUGGUUGUAAAGCACUUUAAGCGAGGAGGAGGCUCUUUUGGUUAAUACCCAAGAUGAGUUGACGUUACUCGCAGAAUAAGCACCGGCUAACUCUGUGCCAGCCGCCGCAGUAA
Molecule: ribosomal RNA, 503 nt
Filed under: uncultured bacterium
Lineage: Bacteria
Description: partial 16S ribosomal RNA
Rfam family: Bacterial small subunit ribosomal RNA
Source: RNAcentral